AACGAACGCUGGCGGCAUGCCUAACACAUGCAAGUCGAACGAAGGCUUCGGCCUUAGUGGCGCACGGGUGCGUAACGCGUGGGAAUCUGCCCUUUGGUUCGGAAUAACAGCUGGAAACGGCUGCUAAUACCGGAUGAUGACGAAAGUCCAAAGAUUUAUCGCCAGAGGAUGAGCCCGCGUUGGAUUAGGUAGUUGGUGGGGUAAAGGCCUACCAAGCCGACGAUCCAUAGCUGGUCUGAGAGGAUGAUCAGCCACACUGGGACUGAGACACGGCCCAGACUCCUACGGGAGGCAGCAGUGGGGAAUAUUGGACAAUGGGCGCAAGCCUGAUCCAGCAAUGCCGCGUGAGUGAUGAAGGCCCUAGGGUUGUAAAGCGCUUGUACCCGGGAAGAUAAUGACUGUACCGGGAGAAUAAGCCCCGGCUAACUCCGUG
Molecule: ribosomal RNA, 433 nt
Filed under: uncultured bacterium
Lineage: Bacteria
Description: partial 16S ribosomal RNA
Rfam family: Bacterial small subunit ribosomal RNA
Source: RNAcentral